CAAGUCUUGCACGGGUCGAUAGUCAU
Molecule: unclassified non-coding RNA, 26 nt
Filed under: Mus musculus (house mouse)
Lineage: Eukaryota; Metazoa; Chordata; Mammalia; Rodentia; Muridae
Description: oocyte_clustered_small_RNA3348
Source: RNAcentral